ACACCUCAACUCUCAUGGCUUGCCAUGAUGAGCUUGGACUUUGGGGGUCUUGUUGGCCUGUGAGCCAGCUCCUCUUAAAUGAAUUAGCUUGCCGGUGUUUGGUGGCAUCAUGGGUGUGAUAAUUAUCUACGCUUGUGGUUUUCUGCUAGGUAACCUUCAGCGAUGAAGGUUCGCUGGGGCUCAUAAACGUCUCUCCUCAGCGAGGACAGCUCUUUGAAC
This 219-nucleotide unclassified non-coding RNA is filed under the name uncultured Tomentella. Its description in RNAcentral is "sequence contains ITS2". The record is from RNAcentral. Lineage: Eukaryota; Fungi; Basidiomycota; Agaricomycetes; Thelephorales; Thelephoraceae.